Molecule: ribosomal RNA, 305 nt
Filed under: uncultured bacterium
Lineage: Bacteria
Description: bacterial SSU rRNA
Rfam family: Bacterial small subunit ribosomal RNA
Source: RNAcentral
CCUACGGGGGGCAGCAGUGAGGAAUAUUGGUCAAUGGGCGAGAGCCUGAACCAGCCAAGUCGCGUGAGGGAAGACGGUCCUAUGGAUUGUAAACCUCUUUUGCCGGGGAGCAAAAAGCGGUACGUGUACCGCAUCGAGAGUACCCGGAGAAAAAGCAUCGGCUAACUCCGUGCCAGCAGCCGCGGUAAUACGGAGGAUGCGAGCGUUAUCCGGAUUUAUUGGGUUUAAAGGGUGCGCAGGCGGAGGCACAAGUCAGCGGUAAAAUCGCGCGGCUCAACCCCGCUCCGCCGUUGAAACUGUGUCCC